Molecule: ribosomal RNA, 492 nt
Filed under: uncultured bacterium
Lineage: Bacteria
Description: partial 16S ribosomal RNA
Rfam family: Bacterial small subunit ribosomal RNA
Source: RNAcentral
AGUGAACGCUGGCGGUAGGCCUAACACAUGCAAGUCGAACGGCAGCACAGUAAGAGCUUGCUCUUACGGGUGGCGAGUGGCGGACGGGUGAGGAAUACAUCGGAAUCUACUUUUUCGUGGGGGACAACGAAGGGAAACUUACGCUAAUACCGCAUACGACCUACGGGUGAAAGCAGGGGAUCUUCGGACCUUGCGCGAUUGAAUGAGCCGAUGUCGGAUUAGCUAGUUGGCGGGGUAAAGGCCCACCAAGGCGACGAUCCGUAGCUGGUCUGAGAGGAUGAUCAGCCACACUGGAACUGAGACACGGUCCAGACUCCUACGGGAGGCAGCAGUGGGGAAUAUUGGACAAUGGGCGCAAGCCUGAUCCAGCCAUACCGCGUGGGUGAAGAAGGCCUUCGGGUUGUAAAGCCCUUUUGUUGGGAAAGAAGAGCAGCAGGUUAACACCCCGCUGUUCUGACGGUACCCAAAGAAUAAGCACCGGCUAACUUCGUG